Molecule: ribosomal RNA, 423 nt
Filed under: Galathea submagnifica
Lineage: Eukaryota; Metazoa; Arthropoda; Malacostraca; Decapoda; Galatheidae
Description: partial 16S ribosomal RNA
Rfam family: Bacterial large subunit ribosomal RNA (bases 291-423)
Source: RNAcentral
UUUUAAUUGAAGGCUUGUAUGAAGGGUUGGACAAAGAAUAAGCUGUCUUUAUUUUUAUUUUUGAAUUUGUCUUUUAGGUGAAAAGACUUAAAUAUAUUUAAGGGACGAUAAGACCCUGUAAAGCUUUAUAUUGGGUGCUUGUAUUUUGGGUUUUAAUGUUCAUAAGAAUAUGAGUGUAAGAUAUUAUAUUGGGGUGAUAAGAAUAAUUAAUAAACUGUUCUAAGAUAAAACAAAUUUAUUUGAGUAAUAGUAGAUCCUUUAUAGAGAUUAAAAGUUUAAGUUACUUUAGGGAUAACAGCGUUAUUUUUUUUGAGAGUUCAAAUCGAAAAAGAAGUUUGCGACCUCGAUGUUGAAUUAAAAUUUCUUUAUGGUGUAGUAGCUAUAAGAGAGAGUCUGUUCGACUUUUAAAUUUUUACGUGAUCU